Molecule: transfer RNA, 540 nt
Filed under: uncultured Prochlorococcus sp.
Lineage: Bacteria; Bacillati; Cyanobacteriota; Cyanophyceae; Synechococcales; Prochlorococcaceae
Description: partial 16S-23S ribosomal RNA intergenic spacer
Rfam family: tRNA (bases 212-284)
Source: RNAcentral
CAGGGAGACAACAAAAUGUUUAAUAUUAUUAUUUUGUCACCUUAGGUCGAUCGGUAUCUCACGUUCUUAAUUAAUUAAGAAUUUCAUUUCCUAAGUUUUUCUAGGUCACACCCAUUAUUUUUCCUGGGCCAUUAGCUCAGGUGGUUAGAGCGCACCCCUGAUAAGGGUGAGGUCCCUGGUUCAAGUCCAGGAUGGCCCAUAUCUCUAUGUUGGGGGUAUAGCUCAGUUGGUAGAGCGCCUGCUUUGCAAGCAGGAUGUCAGCGGUUCGAGUCCGCUUACCUCCACUGAUUACCACCUCUUCCAUAAUCUGUAGAAAGGAAAAUUUUUGAGUUGUGAUCAUAAUUCUGAACGAAUCUAGCUUCCUAAUGAAACCAUUAAGAUGCUGGACUCAUUGAAUUAAUUUCAUUGUUUUCAGAGAACCUUGACAACUGCAUAGAUUAUUUUUAAAGACAAUAAGCAUCUUUAUGAUGCAGAUUUAUUAUUUGUGCGAAUGCAUUAAUAACAAUUCUAUUAAGCUGAUGCUUCAAUUUUGAAGUUAUU